GCGUCCGUCAAUCAUUGUCGGAUGAGUCGGAUGAGCUCAUGCUGCUGUGAUGUUUUUGUUGUUUUAAGGACUGUCCUUUCGCUUAGUUUGUUUGUCCUCAGGAUCUGGUCAGAGCGACCCCCCCGCUGAACAAAGAUUUCACAACGGGUCGAGCACAGUUCAGUCAAAGGGGGCUGUUAUCUGGAAGGAACAGAAGCUCUUAUCCAGAUCCACGCAACUGUUUUCCCUCCAGGUUUAUGGAGAUAUUUACGGCCUAACGAGCGUUACAGCAUCAGGCAUCAAAGCAACAAAACAUUUUCUUAACGGCAAAGCGAUCGUGCCCCCGCAGGGGGGGAGUGGGGGGGAUGCGUUAAGCAGUUCGUUGGAAAUGUUUGCCGCGUGGAUGCGAGACGGACGGGGUAAAAGUCAGCAGACGUCGCAGCAGGUGCCACCAUUUUUUUUUCACGACGCCCCUCCGAGCGGCAGCAUCCGCGAAGCGCCGAUUGAUUUGUGUGAGAUGUUUCCUAUUGUUCAGGCUCAGGAGGUUUAGCACCGGGCUGAUUAACUAAUGGAGGGAUUUAAUCCCAGGUGGGAGUCAGACACCGGGGUCCGGAGCACAAUGAGCAGCCGUCACUUGACCCCAAACUAAAUGCAGAGUAGUAAAAAGUUCGUCGCCGCACGGACGUCAUCUGUGCUUUAGAGGAGCUUUAGAGGAGCGGACUGGACGGGACGGUCCAGCUGGUCCGAGAACAGAAUAAUACACAAACAAGGUUAGCCAAAAGGCUUUGUGGAUCCUUUUAGUGUUUGGCAUUGAAGACGACAGAGAGCUGCCCUCGGAUUUGACCGGAUGAACGAUAUAACGAUCAGGUGUAGCAAACUGCAGUCGCCUCUCAGGGCGAAACGGCGGCUUUGUCGUGUCGGCCAAAUGCGGCCAGCUUUUUAAAAAAAUAGAACGAUUUUUCUGAUUUUCCUUGGAGAAAAAAAAAACGGACGUCAAGCUUCGGACGUUGAUCGGGUCGAGGUUCUCCUCUUCCUCUGGUGUCGGGGAGAAAACCCCCCCCCCGAGUCCAAACAGGAGUACCUUCAGGUCAGAGAACAAAUGGCUUGAAGGCCUCAUGUGGCCCCUUUGACCACAACACAUGGCCCCUUUUGUCCCCCCGCGUGCCACUCAGCCACAGGGCGAAGCGACCGGAAGCUGCUGCCACGGGCCGUCUGAGGGGGAAAGGGUUUGAACCUGUGAACUGAUGGGGCCCGAUCGCCGAGGCCAUUCACGCCGACAGGAGGGGCCGAAGAGGCGGUGGGCGGGGGGGCCUUUCACCCCGAGCUGAGGUGCUGCUCCUGGCCGCCUCAUGUAGAGAUCCACCAGUGCAAGAGGAACAAAUGAAUAUAAAUAUUUCCAGAUGAAAACUGACGCGUGUGGUUUGAACAGGCUGAAUAGAAAUCUAAAUCAUGUCUUUAUCAGAGAGCAAAAGGAAAGUGAGAGGAGAGAGAGGCUGGAAAAAGACCCCCAGUCCGACGUGAAACAUGGAGUUUGGGCUUCACGGUUCUCCCUCCGAAUGCUCCUCAGCAAUCAUUUCUCAUUUAAAAAGAAAUUCCAUUUACCUUCUCCAGAAUGAGGCACCAGUAGAAGACUCUCUGCCAAAUAUCUCUGUGACUACCACCAAGGGGGGGGGAUGCACGGUUUUGUAGUGAUUCGGAAGGACCAACCAACCUAAUACGCUUUUGGGAUUAGAGACGUCACUCUGAGAUAUGUCAUCCAUUCCCCACAAAGGCUCAAAUAUUUUUAGGAGCUGCAAAAUUCAGGAAAAACCCAAAACACUCCAUUUCCAGCCCCCCCCGCCCUCCCCCCAACGGCAACGGGGAUUGUGCCUCAGAGAAACGUGGGAGUGGUUGUGUA
Gasterosteus aculeatus aculeatus (three-spined stickleback) is the source of this 1876-nucleotide long non-coding RNA. NCBI's taxonomy places the organism in Eukaryota, Metazoa, Chordata, Actinopteri, Perciformes, Gasterosteidae. The record is from Ensembl.